This 868-nucleotide long non-coding RNA is filed under the name Equus caballus (horse). Its description in RNAcentral is "lncRNA (ENSECAG00000047029.1)". Lineage: Eukaryota; Metazoa; Chordata; Mammalia; Perissodactyla; Equidae. The record is from RNAcentral.
CCCUUUGGCCUCGAACAGCAUAGUCUGUUUUCUGACACUGACUUCCUUCCCUUCUGCGCCACGUCCUCCUGUCUGACUCUGCAGGACUCUGCCCAAUAAAUGUGGUCAGUUGAUUGAGUAAAGAAUGAGUUUGAACUCGCCAGGCCGAGCCCCCAGGAAGCCCCAUCCGUCUCUCCACACUUCUGCUGUCGCUCCCAUUGUGGGGGAGACAUUACUCAAACCACAGGCUGCAGACUCCCAGGAAUUGCCCCCUGGAGAAGACAACUUGAUUUUUCUCUUAGAUUUUGGGAGACUGAAUGUGCCAUCAGAUUCUGUCAAAGAUAACAAAGCCAUCCUCAACUUUGGGGCCGACAUAUAGACUCCACUGAACGCUCAGUCGCAGUGCUUUUUGUGUUAGAAAGACUCGUGGGAGAUAAGAAAAUGAAGUGUCUUUAUUUCUUUCCUCCACAAGUAGCUGGUUUCAGUGAGCGUUGGUGGCGUUGGUACCGUGGGUUCAUUAACAAACAUUCUAACGCUCGUCCUGUGUUUGACUCACCACGAAACCGUACACUAAAUCUGCUCCGUGUUCUUUGUAGAAUUCUGUAUGUGUCAUCUGGCUUGGAUUCACUAUCUGCGUUUUACAGAGAAGGAACAAAUUUGAACAAAAUAUAGAAGCUUUAAGCAACACACAUUGAACUCAAACAUUUAAGACUUAGAGUGAUCUUAAGCUCGUGUCUUUAUCUUGUCAUUUUCUGUGACGUGUGGUCUAUUUUGGAUGCUGAGUUUGUUCCACGUCCCCAGCAUCCAGAUAAUAUAAGGCGAGGAAUUCAGACUCUCCUAACAGAAAAAAGGAAAAUAACGUGAGAAAAUUGUACUGUUUUAUUUUAAC